This is a long non-coding RNA of Gavialis gangeticus (Gharial), 744 nucleotides long. RefSeq lists it as uncharacterized. NCBI's taxonomy places the organism in Eukaryota, Metazoa, Chordata, Crocodylia, Gavialidae. The record is from RefSeq and is a predicted model, not a curated record. The transcript is spliced from 2 exons.
ACAGAAAGGUCCCUUCUGCUUUUUUUUUCCCUUUGAAAUUUCAAAUUCCAGUUUGUGGACAAAGUCCUGCCUAUCUGAGAAUAUAGAUCUCCGACCACUGACCAAACUCCAUUCCAAGCAACUCCCUAGCUAUGCUUUCUCCCUAGCUCAGUCUCCUCCAUUUACUCCCUGGAUUUGCUGAGAUGACACCGAAGUGCUUUCACCACCGCUGCUGCUCACGCCCAAAGUGGAUUUUUGCAUUUUCUGUCUUAAUCUAACAGCUUCCUUUCCAAGUCAGGGAUGGGGAAGAAGAUUCUGACCAUCUGUAAUAAACCAGGUUUCUAGCCGUUUGGCUCAGAUCACGUGGACUGCCUGACCCCCCCCUCAGCACCUGAUGGACUCUGAGAGCUAUUCUCAACCAUGGGCUACUCCAUUCCACCUGGAAAGGAUAGGACUCCAUGGACUGAGUGACUCUUUCACUCAACUCACCCCCUCCUCCAUUGUGGACCUUUGUACGGGUUUGUUUGUAUCUUCUUUUCCCUCUCAGUGUCAUGACCCCCUCCCUCCCCUCCCCUACCUCCCCUCCCACCCUUGGGCCUAGACGGCUAACAUUGUAUUUAUGUAACCCAGUUGCAUUCCCCUCCUCACCCUCAUCCCUCUUAUGUUAGUCCCCCACUUGGGCUCUCCAUAUUUCCCUUAUGGCCUUGUCAUUUUUGUUCUAAGAUUCUUAACAUUUUCUAAUAAGGUAAACCUGUUCUUAUCUCA